RNAcentral lists this long non-coding RNA (325 nucleotides) under Bos taurus (domestic cattle). RNAcentral's name for it is "long non-coding RNA NONBTAT001034". Lineage: Eukaryota; Metazoa; Chordata; Mammalia; Artiodactyla; Bovidae. The record is from RNAcentral.
CUCUUUCCCAUGCUUCAGUUCUUCUCUCAUGUUGAAAAUGAAGCUUUUCACACUAAGGCCAAUGAAUGGCCUUAGUAUCCACUAUUCCCGCAAACCACAGAAUUCCAUUAAGUGUUUAAACUCUGAGCCUACCUUUAGAAAUUGAUUUGGUAUUGGAUAAAGCAAUUUCUCUUAGGAAGCAUAUCUUCAGAAUAUUUCAUGUGGAUUAUUUUUCUCUAACACAACAUUCAAACACAUGUCCCUAUCACAAACCUCCAGAGCAACUUCACAAAUAAUGCCUAUAGGUCUAAAUCUUUGCUGUGUAUGAAUGAAGAUACACCUAAUC